This 478-nucleotide ribosomal RNA is filed under the name uncultured bacterium. RNAcentral's name for it is "partial 16S ribosomal RNA". It matches the Rfam family "Bacterial small subunit ribosomal RNA", at positions 28 to 507 of the family's 1533-position model. The record is from RNAcentral.
GAUGAACGCUGGCGGCGUGCUUAACACAUGCAAGUCGAACGGGAAAUAUUUCAUUGAGACUUCGGUGGAUUUGAUUUAUUUCUAGUGGCGGACGGGUGAGUAACGCGUGGGUAACCUGCCUUAUACAGGGGGAUAACAGUCAAAAAUGGCUGCUAAUACCGCAUAAGCGCACAGAGCUGCAUGGCUCAGUGUGAAAAACUCCGGUGGUAUAAGAUGGACCCGCGUUGGAUUAGCUAGUUGGUGGGGUAACGGCCCACCAAGGCGACGAUCCAUAGCCGGCCUGAGAGGGUGAACGGCCACAUUGGGACUGAGACACGGCCCAGACUCCUACGGGAGGCAGCAGUGGGGAAUAUUGCACAAUGGGGGAAACCCUGAUGCAGCGACGCCGCGUGAAGGAAGAAGUAUCUCGGUAUGUAAACUUCUAUCAGCAGGGAAGAUAGUGACGGUACCUGACGAAGAAGCCCCGGCUAACUACGUG